CUUCGGUUAUACAGUUACACCAGGAUCGUGUAUGCCUUGAGUUGUAAAUCCACACUUUCUUCUGAAGGCUGCAAUGUUACCACUAUACCGUCAACUCAUCAACUGACUGUCACUUUGUCAACUUGACAUUUAUAUCCUGUGAGCGGCUAGACGUCACCCAAAGCGGUUAAGUACCACGGUUCUUUUGAUUUUGUAUUAAUCUUAUGCCCGGCC
Paramuricea clavata is the source of this 213-nucleotide non-coding RNA. Lineage: Eukaryota; Metazoa; Cnidaria; Anthozoa; Malacalcyonacea; Plexauridae. The record is from the annotation of a GenBank genome assembly.